Molecule: long non-coding RNA, 305 nt
Organism: Mytilus californianus (California mussel)
Lineage: Eukaryota; Metazoa; Mollusca; Bivalvia; Mytilida; Mytilidae
Exons: 3
Source: RefSeq, a predicted model, not a curated record
ACUUCGCUUGGAUGGGCUUUUACUUUGGGGGCUACCACCAUGGUUGCUUUGAUUGGUGCAUUGUUCUUUGCAGCUGUCUGUCAUUUCAGAUCACUAUGGAGAGAAAUUGAAGAUACAGUGAUAGGCGAAUUUAAUGAAUAUAAGAAGGAAGAUGCCGAGUUCCUGAAUGUCAUAAUAGGAGAUGUUCAAAUGUUGGAGAGAUAUUUCGGAAAAUAAUAUAGUGACAUCUGUGAAAAGAAUAUGCGGCAAUGACAAGAUUAUGAACUUUUCUUUUUAAAUUGUUGAAGCGAUGUUUAAAAAAAUAA